This 666-nucleotide ribosomal RNA is filed under the name uncultured Candidatus Nitrosocaldus sp. Its description in RNAcentral is "bacterial SSU rRNA". It matches the Rfam family "Archaeal small subunit ribosomal RNA", at positions 324 to 991 of the family's 1478-position model. The record is from RNAcentral. Lineage: Archaea; Thermoproteati; Nitrososphaerota; Nitrososphaeria; Candidatus Nitrosocaldales; Candidatus Nitrosocaldaceae.
UACGGGGCGCAGCAGGCGCGAAACCUCCGCAAUGGGCGAAAGCCCGACGGGGUCAGUCCGAGUGGCUCCCGCUAAGGGAGUCUUUUGCCAGCUGUAAAAAGGCUGGCGAAUAAGGGGUGGGCAAGUCUGGUGUCAGCCGCCGCGGUAAUACCAGCACCCCGAGUGGUCGGGACGAUUAUUGGGCCUAAAGCAUCCGUAGCCGGUGUGGCAAGUCCUCCGUUAAAUCCACUUGCUCAACAAGUGGGCUGCGGAGGAUACUGCUACACUAGGGGGCGGGAGAGGCGAGGGGUAUUCCACGGGUAGGGGUAAAAUCCUCUGAUCCGUGGAGGACCACCAGUGGCGAAGGCGCCUCGCCAGAACGCGCCCGACGGUGAGGGAUGAAAGCUGGGGGAGCAAACCGGAUUAGAUACCCGGGUAGUCCCAGCCGUAAACGAUGUAGGCUCGGUGAUGGGCUGGCUCCGAGCCAGCCCAGUGCCGCAGGGAAGCCGUUAAGCCUACCGCCUGGGGAGUACGGCCGCAAGGCUGAAACUUAAAGGAAUUGGCGGGGGAGCACCACAAGGGGUGAAGCCUGCGGUUCAAUUGGAGUCAACGCCGGGAAUCUUACCAGGGGGCGACAGCAGGAUGAAGGUCAGGCUGAAGACCUUACCGGACGAGCUGAGAGGAGGU